UAGUCUGCAACCCGACUACAUGAAGCUGGAAUCGCUAGUAAUCGCGGAUCAGAAUGCCGCGGUGAAUACGUUCCCGGGCCUUGUACACACCGCCCGUCACACCAUGAGAGUUGGGAAUACCCGAAGCCUGUGAGCUAACAUUUAUGAGGCAGCAGUCGAAGGUAGAAUCAAUGAUUGGGGUGAAGUCGUAACAAGGUACC
RNAcentral lists this ribosomal RNA (200 nucleotides) under uncultured bacterium. Its description in RNAcentral is "partial 16S ribosomal RNA". It matches the Rfam family "Bacterial small subunit ribosomal RNA", at positions 1301 to 1500 of the family's 1533-position model. The record is from RNAcentral.